RNAcentral lists this ribosomal RNA (496 nucleotides) under uncultured bacterium. Its description in RNAcentral is "partial 16S ribosomal RNA". It matches the Rfam family "Bacterial small subunit ribosomal RNA", at positions 30 to 506 of the family's 1533-position model. The record is from RNAcentral.
AAUGAACGCUGGCGGCAUGCCUAAUACAUGCAAGUCGAGCGAACAGACGAGGAGCUUGCUCCUCUGACGUUAGCGGCGGACGGGUGAGUCACACGUGGAUGACCUACCUAUAAGACUGGGAUAACUUCGGGAAACCGGAGCUAAUACCGGAUAAUAUAUUGAACCGCAUGGUUCAAUAGUGCAAGACGGUUUUGCUGUCCCUAAUAGAUGGAUCCGCGCCGCAUUAGUAAGUUGGUACGGAAACGGCUUACCAAGGCAAGGAUGCGUAGCCGACCUGAGGGGGUGAUCGCCCACACGGGAACGGGGAAAGGGCCCGACCCCCUACGGGAGGCAGCAGUGGGAAAUUUGCCGCAAGGGGGGAAAGCCUAACGAGGAAACGCCGCGGGAGGGAGGAAGGUCUUCGGAUCGUAAAACCUUUUGGUUAGGGAAGAAAAAAGUUGGAAGAAACUAUGCACGGAUUAACGGAACCUAAGCAGAAGGCCACGGCUAACUACGG